UGACCUCGGAUCAGGUAGGAAUA
Molecule: ribosomal RNA, 23 nt
Filed under: Colletotrichum acutatum
Lineage: Eukaryota; Fungi; Ascomycota; Sordariomycetes; Glomerellales; Glomerellaceae
Also listed under: 2 other names
Description: partial 28S ribosomal RNA
Source: RNAcentral